Brachypodium distachyon (stiff brome) is the source of this 3059-nucleotide long non-coding RNA. RefSeq lists it as uncharacterized. Lineage: Eukaryota; Viridiplantae; Streptophyta; Magnoliopsida; Poales; Poaceae. The record is from RefSeq and is a predicted model, not a curated record. The transcript has 7 exons.
UGCACAGGCGCCUGGUUUUCUUUUUUUUUAGAACCAGGCGAUUUGUGCACCGUCAGAUCUAUGCUUCAAGAUUGGUGUCCAGCGGCUUCUUACCCCAUCGCACAUUCUGGUCAGUGGGAGACGGAGCAGACGAGGGCGCGCCGGCGCGGGGGGAGAGGAGGGGGGUGGGGCGCUAGGCACGGCUUCUGUCCCCGUCUAGUGAGGUCCUGCGGGGUCGGGCGGGCGGCUAGGCGCAGCUUCUGUCCCCGUCCGGUGAGGUCCCGCGGCGCGCGGUGGGUAGGGGCCUGGUGAGGUGAGGCAGGCCGCGUGGCUUCUGUCCCCGUCCGGUGAGGUGCUCACGUCCCUGCCCGGUGGCGCGGGGCUGGCUCGUUGCGGCUGCUCCACCACGAUGGUCACGACGCGGGCGAGCUCAAGAAUUUCGGGAGUGCGAGGUGGUGGGGACGAGGCGAUUCGCAUCUUCUUCGUCGGCACCAGAGGGGUCCCCUAGUCCGCAAAGACAGCAGAGGCGGGGGAGGAUUUGGAUCUGCACUCGUCGACGGUGAGGUCUGGUCUGCUGUCUGCCGAUUUUGCUUCCCUCUUUGGGGCGAACUUGGCGAGGCGGAGGCAGUAGAGGUGAGGCAUGUCAUGGGUGGCGCGGGCAAGGUGAGUCCUUCGUUUCCUAUAUCCCAGACGAAAGCCCUGGCCAAAUGGCAGAUCUAUGUUGCAUUCCUCGAGAUUGCGUAUCGUCUGGCUCUUGCUGAGGUUGGUACUCACGCCGCAGCAGUCAUAGCUGAUUUUUGGGGCUCAUUCAUCUGGCUCUGUGUUGGUUUAUCGGAUUGGAUUGUGCGUUGAUUUGGGCGUUUUGUGUUGCUGUUAUGUGAUGUUUCUGAACGCCGGCUAACUUUAGCAUUUAUUAGAGCCAUAUUCAGAUUCAAAUUGAAAUAGUGCUUCUGGUCAUGAUUAUGUGUGUUGGUGGUGCUUUUGAUACUGAAACUAACGAUUACCGAAGUACUAAUUGUACCCUACUUGAUUGAUCUUGUAAUAAUCUAGCAAUUUUCAUUUCGUUGUUAUUUUCUGGUGGUAGGGGUUUGCCUAGCAUAAGUGUUGUGUGCACUGAAACUGAAACUAAGGGUUGUAACCUGAUUCUUACUGUUGUUUGUUGGUUGAGUAUGGUUCAAUGCUAGGAGCAGUUUCUGGUGUCCAGAGGAUUUUGAAGCUUUUUUUUUGGCAUUGCAGUCAUGCUAAAAAUACAUAAGAGUGUGCUUUGUGUUUAUGCAUUUUCUACUGUUAUACAUAAUCCGCAUGAAUCAUUUAGUAACCAUUUUUAGUUAGGGUAUUUAAGCGGUUUACUUACUGUGCCAUCUAACAUCUCUUCCCAUGUAUUGUGAUUCAUAUAUCAAUGGUGUUAGGCACUUGUGCAUUUUUCACAAGUAACUUAUCUAUUUUUUCACAAACUGUACAAUGAUUUUUUGGAGUGUAGUAUAUGUGUUUGCCCAUGUUUGCUUAUGCUAGGGUUUUGUUAUUGUAAUGUAAUAGCCUUACCCACAGCCCUUUCCAAUGGGUUUUCCAAUCUUUUCUCUCUCUUUUCAAUUUGGCACCAAUAUGCAAACAAUUCAUAUGUAGAUUUAUCUGUCCUAUCAUAUGUGUUGUCCUCUGUGAAAGACCAAUUGUACUUCUUUUUUUGUUUUCUGUAUGGCUUGCAAUGACAGCCGACUUAAAUUACAUAUGUUGAUUUCUCGAAGAACCAGCGCAACCCCCUGUAAUUGCACCUGUAUUUUUUUUUGUAAUGAUGUAUGUUUGUUGUUCCCCCCUAGUGCAAUUUAUGGCAUCCCUUAGUGCAUUUACACUUUUUUUGGGAGUGCAAUUCUGGCCAAUUAGUAGCGCAAUCGAGAUUAUAGCUGUAUUCAAACAAGAAUCAGAUUUUUCUGAAUCCUGGAAAGGUUUUCCAAGAGUAGUGCAAUUUUACCUAAUUUUUGUAGGUGCACAUCUUGAUUCAUCCUAGCGCAAUUCUUUUUGUGUGCUGCACAUGCAUUUGGACUUGUUAUUUUGUUUUAAUUAACUAUGGCCAUACACUUCUGAUUGUUUGUAGUCCAUUUCUUUUCGCAACUCCCCCAUCGCAAUUAAUGGAGUCCCUUAGCGCAAUUGCACUUCUUUUGGGAGCACAAUUCUGGGCAUUAAGAAGCGCAAUUAAGAUGAUACCUAUAUUCAAACAAGAAUCAGAGUUUUCUAAGUGCUGGUGUGCUUAAUACAAAACUUUGGAUCUUUUGUUCCCCAUAUGGUGUGCUUAAAAUCCCCUUUCACUUAUAUUUUCCGCCCAAGAACCUUUUUCUUCUCUUUUUUUUAAUGUACCAACAAAACAGUACUGCAAGGUGUACUCUUUUUUCUAAGUGCAGUUGCACCCUUCAUCUUCAAUAAUUGCAUUUUCUCUGUUACUAAUUUUGCAGCAUCUGAUUAUACUAUUUUGUACAUGUCUUCGUCAAUUCGCAGCUUUGUAUUAUCUGCAUUCUUUCAUCUAGGUGCAAGCGACAUUUUGCUUGACGUCCUCUUUAAAAUUUUGCUUUUCAUCUAGGCGCAAGCAGCUUUGCAUUAUCUGCAAGGUCUACUUCUUGUUGCUCUGUACUUUUCUCAGAUAUUACAGCCGACGGCAUGCUGAUUGGCCGGAGUUGAACAUAUGUAUGCUGCGUGGACUGGUGUGGGAUUUCCCUGAAGGAAAUGAAGCCCCCAUGUCGGUGGCUGCAUAAAUAAAACAGGAUUUUGGAGUGAGAAUGGUUCUGCAUAAAGAGAUCAGUGAUGAAUGCUGCCCUGGAAAGAUUUUUGGAUUCUGAAUGUAUCUGCAUGGAAGAGAACAGUGAUAAAUGAUGUAAUGGAAGGGAGCUUAGAGUCUGAAUCUCUCUGCACAUCUCUGUGCACAAAAGAGCAAGAACUUUAAACAAGUUUGCACUACAAAAUCAAUUUUUUUCCCUGAUCCUUUUUUUGUAUGCAUUGUUAUAUGUUUCUGGCGCCAAAACCUAAAUUUGCAGUUUGAAUCUCUUUGUUUUGGCACCAAAGGCAGCCAGUUGUUGAUUGUUUUGCAAAACAAA